Molecule: ribosomal RNA, 492 nt
Filed under: uncultured bacterium
Lineage: Bacteria
Description: partial 16S ribosomal RNA
Rfam family: Bacterial small subunit ribosomal RNA
Source: RNAcentral
AGUGAACGCUGGCGGUAGGCCUAACACAUGCCAGUCGAACGGCAGCACAGUAAGAGCUUGCUCUUACGGGUGGCGAGUGGCGGACGGGUGAGGAAUACAGCGGAAUCUACUUUUUCGUGGGGGAUAACGUAGGGAAACUUACGCUAAUACCGCAUACGACCUACGGGUGAAAGCAGGGGAUCUUCGGACCUUGCGCGAUUGAAUGAGCCGAUGUCGGAUUAGCUAGUUGGCGGGGUAAAGGCCCACCAAGGCGACGAUCCGUAGCUGGUCUGAGAGGAUGAUCAGCCACACUGGAACUGAGACACGGUCCAGACUCCUACGGGAGGCAGCAGUGGGGAAUAUUGGACAAUGGGCGCAAGCCUGAUCCAGCCAUACCGCGUGGGUGAAGAAGGCCUUCGGGUUGUAAAGCCCUUUUGUUGGGAAAGAAAAGCAGCAGGUUAAUACCCCGCUGUUCUGACGGUACCCAAAGAAUAAGCACCGGCUAACUUCGUG